RNAcentral lists this ribosomal RNA (374 nucleotides) under uncultured bacterium. Its description in RNAcentral is "bacterial SSU rRNA". It matches the Rfam family "Bacterial small subunit ribosomal RNA", at positions 524 to 898 of the family's 1533-position model. The record is from RNAcentral.
UACAGAGGGUGCAAGCGUUAAUCGGAGUUACUGGGCGUAAAGGGCGCGUAGGCGGUGAGAUGAGUGUGAUGUGAAAGCCCCGGGCUUAACCUGGGAAGUGCAUCGCAAACGAUCUGACUGGAGUAUAAGAGAGGGUGGCGGAAUUUCCGGUGUAGCGGUGAAAUGCGUAGAGAUCGGAAGGAACGUCAAUGGCGAAGGCAGCCACCUGGCUUAAUACUGACGCUGAGGCGCGAGAGCGUGGGGAGCGAACAGGAUUAGAUACCCUGGUAGUCCACGCUGUAAACGAUGAAGACUAGAUGUUGAUUGGGGAACCAAGCAGUAUCGAAGCUAACGCGAUAAGUCUUCCGCCUGGGAAGUACGGCCGCAAGGUUGAA